CGCGUAGGCGGUUUGGUUAGUUAGACGUGAAAUUCCUGGGCUCAACCUGGGGACUGCGUUUAAUACAGCCUGACUUGAGUGUGGAAGAGGGUCGUGGAAUUCCCAGUGUAGAGGUGAAAUUCGUAGAUAUUGGGAAGAACACCGGUGGCGAAGGCGGCGACCUGGUCCAUUACUGACGCUGAGGCGCGAAAGCGUGGGGAGCAAACAGGAUUAGAUACCCUGGUAGUCCACGCCGUAAACGAUGUGCGCUGGAUGUUGGGUGACCUAGUCACUCAGUGUCGUAGCUAACGCGAUAAGCGCACCGCCUGGGGAGUACGGCCGCAAGGUUGAA
This 331-nucleotide ribosomal RNA is filed under the name uncultured bacterium. RNAcentral's name for it is "bacterial SSU rRNA". It matches the Rfam family "Bacterial small subunit ribosomal RNA", at positions 568 to 898 of the family's 1533-position model. The record is from RNAcentral.